UCAAGCCCGAGGAUGACGGGGGGAGUCGAGAGUGAUGGGAUGGGACGUUACUAUGAUCCUUAAAGACGGCCUCAGCCUUCGCAAGGCCGAUCUGCGGUUCGUG
RNAcentral lists this small RNA (103 nucleotides) under Sinorhizobium meliloti 2011. RNAcentral's name for it is "putative ncRNA". Lineage: Bacteria; Pseudomonadati; Pseudomonadota; Alphaproteobacteria; Hyphomicrobiales; Rhizobiaceae. The record is from RNAcentral.